RNAcentral lists this long non-coding RNA (1419 nucleotides) under Homo sapiens (human). Its description in RNAcentral is "HSALNT0061536". Lineage: Eukaryota; Metazoa; Chordata; Mammalia; Primates; Hominidae. The record is from RNAcentral.
UACGAAUAAAGUUUAAGAUGGAAUAUAUCAAAAUGAUAGUAGUAGGUUAGUAGACUUUACAGAUGAUUACUCCCUACACUCUGUCCUUUUCCACAAUUUUUGCAAAAAUUACUUAAAACCUGCAUUUUAAGAUUCUGUAAGUCUAAUAUUACAUGAUUAACUGACUUGCUGUCCUUUGUCAUUUAGAAAGAACAGGGCUUAGGAAAGGAGGAGGCACAGAGUAUAAGUCACAGUCCAAAGUUUGGGGCAAUACCUGGGGAGUAUUGGGACUGGAGGAGGAAGCGCUGGGCUGAGAAAGGCCGGUGGGUGUGACAGUGGACAUGACUCUCCUGCCUUCCCUGCAGUUUUGCCUGAGCGCAUGUCUUUGUUAUGCUCACCAACUCAUCAGCUAGGAGCAGGGCUUGGAAUCUCUGAAAGUUCCUUAGUCUCUCUCUUGGACAUCCCAGGCAUUUCCCCACUGGGGAGUACUGUGGAUUCAUUUUCACACCAAGAAAAUCAACAAAUGCAGCUUGCUGGGGAUGACUGUCCAGCCUGGCAUGCUAAGGAAUUUGGUAACCAAGGGAAUCAAUAACAAUUUGUUUGGGCUUGUACUUUUAAUGAUUUAGACUUUGAACAAGCUCCUUUGGAUUGUAUUUAUUGGUAUAUGAGGCAACUUUUCUCAAAUCCUUUCUCACAUCUGGAAGCCUUUCCCUGGCUUUCUCUCUCUUGACAGGAGGUGGCACCUGAGGUGAAGCUGAGUGGGAGGAAGGAUAGAAGCCCUGGCUGGGACUGCUAGCACCCACCCAAGCCCCUUUGACCCCCAUCUGCUGGCGUCUACUCCGCUUAUCACCCUAGCAUUUCACCCUCACGGGAGAGAUGAUGCUUGAGGGGUAAGGACGGAGAGGCAGACAGGAGCCACAUUACAGAGGACUUGGAAUGCCAGGCUGAGAAUUUUGGACUUUCUUCUGUAAGAGCCACAGGAGCUUUUAAGCAAAGGAGUGACGUGGUCUGGCAUAUAAUUUAGGAGAACCACUCUGGUGCAGACUGGGGAAGACGUUGGUGUGAGGUGAAACCAGCGUGAGGGCCGCCAAAGCUAGGCCAGUUCUGGAGGUCAGAAGUCUGACAGUGCUGGCAGGGCCGCUUUCUCAUGGGGGCUUCAGGAGAGAAUCCUUUUCUUUGCCGUUUCCACCUUCAAGAGGCCACUUGCAUUCCCUGGAGUGUAGCUACUUCUGCUUUCAAGGACAGUCACUCCAACCUGUUUCUAUCUUCAUGUUUCCUUGUUUUUGAUUUGUUCUGUUUUGUUUUGUUUGGCCCUCUUUGCCCACCUGUAUAACCCAGUAUCAUCUCAUAUUAAGACUGUCACGCGCGUUCGUGUGAAGAGACCACCAAACAGACUUUGUAUGAGCAAUAAAGCUUUUUAAUCACCUGGGUGCAGGCGGG